This is a long non-coding RNA of Columba livia (rock pigeon), 1000 nucleotides long. RefSeq lists it as uncharacterized. The record is from RefSeq and is a predicted model, not a curated record. The transcript is spliced from 2 exons. NCBI's taxonomy places the organism in Eukaryota, Metazoa, Chordata, Aves, Columbiformes, Columbidae.
GAGACUGAGAUUGUCUGCAGGAGCCCAUAAAAGCUCUGAGAGCAGCUGAGCUGUGUUGUGUUGGCCUGGGAACUGCAGCAGAGUGUAGUGUAAUAUCUGCUUUGAAUUGAAAGCAUUUAUUUAUUUUUUUAAUUUUAGUUGUAUGUAUGCUUAGUGUUUGUUAAGCUUCAGGUUAGAGCUGAGGGGUCCUUGGCUGGUUGUGACACUUGAUCCAUCAGCUGAGGGUCCCCGAGUGCAGCUAAAAGACACUUUUCUGCAUCUAAAAGGCUUAGAGGAAGAUUGAAGUACAUUUGGGCAGAAUUCUGCGUGGAGAAAGUGCAGCUUUCUAGCAGUAAGAAGCGGUAAAACACAACUGAAAAGGAGCCAUUGAACUGCAGCAGUAUUGGAUAUGGAGUGGUCACCACCGGAACAAUUGAGAACUAAUGUGGCACUGUGGAAAUUGUUAAUGCUACAGGUCUUUCUGCUGACUGCAAUGAUUUGCUAAAUACAGAUAAAAUAACAAAUAAAGGACAAUAAUAAGCACAUCAUCAUAGAUGGAUUCUAUACAUCUUUUGAACUGACUGCGGCAAAACAUGUAGUACUGUCUUACUGAGGUUUUUUUCAAUAUUGCUGUUGCGUUUCCUAUUUAUCUCACUUUUUGGGUAUUAAUUUGUUAACGACUAAUUUCAGCUGGUAUUUAUUUAUUGGCAGAAAAAAAAUGCAUCUGGAUUGUGAGGAUGAGAGGUGUAACUUAUAGCUGUAUUUAAGGAAUUUAUGAGCCAGAGAUGGAUCUCACAGGUAUGAACUGUACUCACAAGAUGGUGGCAAUUGUUAAUCAGAUUAAUGAGAAGUAUGCCGCAAUGUCCUAUGAGGCUGUGUUAUUGAUACGCUGUAUAAAUUGAAAAUGAUCUUUCACAACAUUUUCAACCUGGUGCUUUUUAAAAAUAUAUUCCAAACUGAAUUUAGAAUACUAUUUGUAUUCAGUACUUGAAAUUAAAAUGUACAAAUCUCGUAAGGGAAA